Molecule: long non-coding RNA, 235 nt
Organism: Dermochelys coriacea (leatherback sea turtle)
Lineage: Eukaryota; Metazoa; Chordata; Testudines; Dermochelyidae
Exons: 3
Source: RefSeq, a predicted model, not a curated record
UCUUAUUAUCUAUCCCUUUCCUAAGGGGUUCCUAACAUUCUGUUAGCUUUUUUGAUUGCCAUUGCACACUGAGCAGAUGUUUUCAGAGAACUAUCCACAAUGACUCUAAGAUCUUGCUUGAGUGGUAGCAGCAGAUUUAGACUCCAUGAUUUUGUAUGUAUAGUUGGGAUUAUGUUUUCCAGUGUGCAUUACUUUGUCAAUUAUCAACAUUGAAUUUCAUCUGCCCAGUUUGGUA